RNAcentral lists this long non-coding RNA (901 nucleotides) under Medicago truncatula (barrel medic). RNAcentral's name for it is "long non-coding RNA (MTRU_LNC006567)". The record is from RNAcentral. Lineage: Eukaryota; Viridiplantae; Streptophyta; Magnoliopsida; Fabales; Fabaceae.
CGUAAUUUAUAAGAUUUCUCCUUCGAAACUAAAUUUUAAAAAAAUACGUUAUUCAACCCGUGCGAAGCACGGGUUUGUAACUAGUUAAGAAGGGAAAAGAUGGGCUUGCGUGUGGUUUCUAACUUUGUUAUUUAUCCAUAUGUUGAAAUUCGUGAUAAAUUCUAGAUCAAUCGAGCAUCAUCAUCAAAUUAUAUUCUUGUUGAAUUAUUGCCUUUGGCUAACAUGAACUGCUCUAACUUUUUAGAUUAUAACAGUUCUAUGACCAACUAAAGACGAACAGCUUUUUAACUAUUACAAACCAUAUGUUUGGUUACGCGUUUCAGCUCCUCAAAGUGCAUUUUUGUCUGCAAACGUGAUUCUUAUCUGUUGCAAAUAUGUUUGGUUUUUUCUUGAAGAAUCGAUUCUGCCUUCCAAACUCGAUUCUACCAAAAGCUAGGAAUCUUAACUUUUGCAAAUCGAUUCUCAAUUUGUUGUUGGGUUACAAUUUCAGAAUUCAUUUUAUUCCGUUUUUACCCUUAACAACUAUCAUCAAUAACUCUUACUGGGGCUCAAUAAUAUGUGCCAAAUCACCGAGAUGUACCCUUGCAAUUGUUGCAUGUUUCCUUUCCUUUCUCCACUAUAGAAACAUCAUCAAGAUGAAAUUUAUUUGAUGAACGAAAGUGAACAUGAAGUAUGAGAGAUGGAUAAAGAGAAUUGAAGAAGAAAAUUGAGAAAUAAGAGAAGGAGGAAGGAAGGGUGAAGAGUUUUUAGAUUGCAGAAGGAGAUAUAGUAAACCCAAUUGAAGGUUCUGGAGAAACCGAGAAUGAAUAGCAACAUGAUUAUUUAUUUUAUUUUUUAAUUAAAAUGGUUACUAAAGUUGGGUGGAAACUGUUUUACCUUCUAACAUAAUAGUGAGUGGGGU